CCUUUUCACUUCAUACCUCCCAUGGAUCGGAGAAGGCAGUAUCGUUCAGUUCGGGGAGAGAGGUUCAGAUUAAUGACCUGAAGAUAAUAUGGACUUUCGCAUGGAAAGCUCUUCUUCGGAGAUAAUGACGAGGAGAAGCUGUGAGCUGCGAAUGCGCCAUGUUAGAUGCUCGCGGGUUCAUCCAUUCGCUGCCAGCAAAGGGAGAAGCCUGCACUUAGAUCCUUCAGUUG
Molecule: long non-coding RNA, 230 nt
Filed under: Spirodela polyrhiza (greater duckweed)
Lineage: Eukaryota; Viridiplantae; Streptophyta; Magnoliopsida; Alismatales; Araceae
Description: long non-coding RNA (SPOL_LNC002223)
Source: RNAcentral